This is a long non-coding RNA of Girardinichthys multiradiatus, 611 nucleotides long. RefSeq lists it as uncharacterized. NCBI's taxonomy places the organism in Eukaryota, Metazoa, Chordata, Actinopteri, Cyprinodontiformes, Goodeidae. The record is from RefSeq and is a predicted model, not a curated record. The transcript has 2 exons.
CUUCACUAGUGCAAGUGCAAGCCACAACUAAUCUUUGCUUUGUGCGUUGCGCUUAGUAACCUUCGUUUGUGCUCCUUUGCAGGUUGUUUUACCUGAACCUUUGGAUAACGCUUGUUGAUGCCUGACUUCGCUCUCAGCAUUGCUUUGCUGUUUUGGAUUUUCGACUUCUGGAGAAAGGUCUACUAUUUUUGUGGAUUAAGAUCCAAGAUUCCUGUUUACUUCGUCUGGACAACGACCAGCUGGCAGCUUCCUGUUUCACCGUUAUCCGAACCUAAGCGUAACCUGUUCACCCUCCAACGCAAGUACCUUCAUCCUGAACUCAUCAUUCCUCACAAAUCUCUCAAGCCCUUCCAGAGAAACUUCUGUGCCAUACACUCAGACUGCGAAUCCCUCAACCCCCCUGGCGGUUAUAUUACUCCAACAUGUUGGUGAUUUACGAGUUCCUGCACACUUCCCAUUUAUCUUUGUUUAAGAAAAGCUUCUUCAUAAACCUGUUUCUUCUUCUGAGUGUUUUCAUCUGCAUGUGGGUCAGAACUAUCUCGAGCAAAAUGACAGUUUGGCUGUCACCGGUAUGCUAUAGUUGUAAUACAAUCCUUUUAAGAAAUCUAAAA